Molecule: ribosomal RNA, 468 nt
Filed under: uncultured bacterium
Lineage: Bacteria
Description: partial 16S ribosomal RNA
Rfam family: Bacterial small subunit ribosomal RNA
Source: RNAcentral
GACGAACGCUGGCGGCGUGCUUAACACAUGCAAGUCGAACGGAAAGGCCCUGCUUUUGUGGGGUGCUCGAGUGGCGAACGGGUGAGUAACACGUGAGUAACCUGCCCUUGACUUUGGGAUAACUUCAGGAAACUGGGGCUAAUACCGGAUAGGAGCUCCUGCUGCAUGGUGGGGGUUGGAAAGUUUCGGCGGUUGGGGAUGGACUCGCGGCAUAUCAGCUUGUUGGUGGGGUAGUGGCUUACCAAGGCUUUGACGGGUAGCCGGCCUGAGAGGGUGACCGGCCACAUUGGGACUGAGAUACGGCCCAGACUCCUACGGGGGGCAGCAGUGGGGAAUAUUGCACAAUGGGCUGAAGCCUGAUGCAGCAACGCCGCGUGCGGGAUGACGGCCUUCGGGUUGUAAACCGCUUUCGCCUGUGACGAAGCGUGAGUGACGGUAAUGGGUAAAGAAGCACCGGCUAACUACGUG